Molecule: ribosomal RNA, 1521 nt
Filed under: Shigella sonnei
Lineage: Bacteria; Pseudomonadati; Pseudomonadota; Gammaproteobacteria; Enterobacterales; Enterobacteriaceae
Description: partial 23S ribosomal RNA
Rfam family: Bacterial large subunit ribosomal RNA
Source: RNAcentral
AACAGGUUAAUAUUCCUGUACUUGGUGUUACUGCGAAGGGGGGACGGAGAAGGCUAUGUUGGCCGGGCGACGGUUGUCCCGGUUUAAGCGUGUAGGCUGGUUUUCCAGGCAAAUCCGGAAAAUCAAGGCUGAGGCGUGAUGACGAGGCACUACGGUGCUGAAGCAACAAAUGCCCUGCUUCCAGGAAAAGCCUCUAAGCAUCAGGUAACAUCAAAUCGUACCCCAAACCGACACAGGUGGUCAGGUAGAGAAUACCAAGGCGCUUGAGAGAACUCGGGUGAAGGAACUAGGCAAAAUGGUGCCGUAACUUCGGGAGAAGGCACGCUGAUAUGUAGGUGAAGUCCCUUGCGGAUGGAGCUGAAAUCAGUCGAAGAUACCAGCUGGCUGCAACUGUUUAUUAAAAACACAGCACUGUGCAAACACGAAAGUGGACGUAUACGGUGUGACGCCUGCCCGGUGCCGGAAGGUUAAUUGAUGGGGUCAGCGCAAGCGAAGCUCUUGAUCGAAGCCCCGGUAAACGGCGGCCGUAACUAUAACGGUCCUAAGGUAGCGAAAUUCCUUGUCGGGUAAGUUCCGACCUGCACGAAUGGCGUAAUGAUGGCCAGGCUGUCUCCACCCGAGACUCAGUGAAAUUGAACUCGCUGUGAAGAUGCAGUGUACCCGCGGCAAGACGGAAAGACCCCGUGAACCUUUACUAUAGCUUGACACUGAACAUUGAGCCUUGAUGUGUAGGAUAGGUGGGAGGCUUUGAAGUGUGGACGCCAGUCUGCAUGGAGCCGGCCUUGAAAUACCACCCUUUAAUGUUUGAUGUUCUAACGUGGACCCGUGAUCCGGGUUGCGGACAGUGUCUGGUGGGUAGUUUGACUGGGGCGGUCUCCUCCUAAAGAGUAACGGAGGAGCACGAAGGUUGGCUAAUCCUGGUCGGACAUCAGGAGGUUAGUGCAAUGGCAUAAGCCAGCUUGACUGCGAGCGUGACGGCGCGAGCAGGUGCGAAAGCAGGUCAUAGUGAUCCGGUGGUUCUGAAUGGAAGGGCCAUCGCUCAACGGAUAAAAGGUACUCCGGGGAUAACAGGCUGAUACCGCCCAAGAGUUCAUAUCGACGGCGGUGUUUGGCACCUCGAUGUCGGCUCAUCACAUCCUGGGGCUGAAGUAGGUCCCAAGGGUAUGGCUGUUCGCCAUUUAAAGUGGUACGCGAGCUGGGUUUAGAACGUCGUGAGACAGUUCGGUCCCUAUCUGCCGUGGGCGCUGGAGAACUGAGGGGGGCUGCUCCUAGUACGAGAGGACCGGAGUGGACGCAUCACUGGUGUUCGGGUUGUCAUGCCAAUGGCACUGCCCGGUAGCUAAAUGCGGAAGAGAUAAGUGCUGAAAGCAUCUAAGCACGAAACUUGCCCCGAGAUGAGUUCUCCCUGACCCUUUAAGGGUCCUGAAGGAACGUUGAAGACGACGACGUUGAUAGGCCGGGUGUGUAAGCGCAGCGAUGCGUUGAGCUAACCGGUACUAAUGAACCGUGAGGCUUAACCUU